UUGAACAUGGGAGGCAGAGGUUGCAGUGAGCCAAGAUUGUGCCACUGCACUCCAGCCUGUGCAACAGAGUGAGACUUCAUCUCAAAAAAAGAAAAGAAAAGAAAAUUAGCCUACUCAGUUAAAAAGUCUCAGGUAUGGGGAGGCACUUCGUAGUUUAGACUUAGAUGACACUAAGAGGUUCUAAGUGUGAGGAGCUCAACAGUAGUAUCUGGAGCCUGCUGGGAUCCUUACUUACGUGUGGCGGUUCUUCUCCAGGCAGAACAGCAAGGCUGAGAGUCCACAGUGGAGAUGGAGAAGCAGGAUGUUUUAAGGGAAUGACCUUGAUGCAAUGGUAAUCUUCCAGUGUACAACCAGGAAAACUAUCCCAGAGGUCACAGAAUAGAAAGAUUCAGAGACUAAACUGAAACUGUAAAAGCUUGUGGUUAAUUGAAUCAACGUAAAACAGAGUGAGAUGCAAGAAAAAAGAUAUGGUGUAGGUGAAGACACCGGAGAGGGUAGAGGGUUAAAAGAACCAUGCUAUGUGAAUUCUGCAUCACGCAAUGUUUCUAGGUCCUAUCUCUCUUUCCACCUUAUCAGCUCUCUCCAUUGUCUGCAUGAUUACAAGGACCAGGUUUGAUUGUGAGCAAGGGACUCAGCAGAUGGACAGUGCCUGGAGUCAACACUUGCACUGUAGAAGACACACAGGGGCAAAUCGGCUUGGUCUCAGCAGUAGCUUCCACAUUAACUUACUGAGCAGCUGUGGAUUCUAUCUGCACAUCUCAGGCAGAGGAUACCUGGCCAGAAUGGGUGUCACCAGUGAGUUGAGGCAAUUUAAACUCUCGUGCCUAUUCAGUGUCCCAUGAAUAUUAUAUUUGGCCUCUCUCUUAACUCAUCAACAUUUAACAGACCAUGAAUUUUUGCUGCCUUUGGGCUUUCCAUCCUCACCUUUGUUUAACACACUGAUGUGCUUCUUUCUUUCCCUAUGUCUGACAUAGUUCACAGGUCAUUAACUUGCUAUCUAUGCUUAAUACCUACUAUAAGCUUCUGUGUCUCACAAGCUCCUUUUAUACUUACAUUUAUAUUGAGUAUUUCUUAAGAGUUGUAUCAACUCUAUUUGCUUUUCUUGUCUUUUACAAAAGAAUUGAAUAUUGUUAAAUAACACAGCAGACACCCCUUACAAGGAGGAGGGUAUGAACAGAGAAGAAGAGCUUGGGGAUGUGCAGAGGGUGGACUUCUGUGUGUUUGUGGAAAUUAGUUCCACAAUGUGGAUUGCCCUCUGGGAGCUGACAGGGAAUGGGCAAGGUAUUCCUCUUCCCUCUGGGUCCUUCCUAUAUUCCCUCUCAGUUCUAACAUUCUGGACUGGGUCUCUAUUGGUUUUCAUGGAUGAUUUAUAGCCAGGCACUGAAGAAUACUCUCUACAUAGCUGUAUACUUUAAAAACAGUCCUUUCAUAAGCUGUGUUAUGCUGUUCAUUCCUGUACCAUUACAUAUUUCCCUAGAACUAAUAAAUUAUUUACUUUGCAUCCACAAGGCUUAACUAGAAAAACGUACCAAAAAUCAGAGUGUCCAAGUAUUGAAGAAAGGGGAAUACAGACUUUCCCAGGCAGAUGACUCCGAAAUUGUUCAAGGUAACUUAAUAAUCAUCUGAAGACUGUUAUUAAGGUCAAAAGCUGAAGAUGUCCAGACGCAUAAGUAACAAAAUACUUCCAUGAAAACAGAUGCCAGUUUCAUCAUAGGAAACCUGACUGCCAAAAGCUGCACUGUUCCGAGUUACAUACUGUUUUAAUCCCAAAAGUUGGUUUUAACCAAGGUGUAUUUUAUUCUUAAUUUUU
RNAcentral lists this long non-coding RNA (1810 nucleotides) under Homo sapiens (human). RNAcentral's name for it is "HSALNT0119554". Lineage: Eukaryota; Metazoa; Chordata; Mammalia; Primates; Hominidae. The record is from RNAcentral.